CAAUGAGAUCCAAUUUGUUGAAACAAGUGACCCUGCCGUUGCAAAAGUUCUCUUCCCGGAUAGCAAAUCUACUAAUUUCAUUGGAAUUGUUAAAAGUGAGCCUGAAAGAUACACUGCAUAUGAAGGGACCUUUGAGAUGGACAAGAUAUUGCAGUUUUUGGACUAUAACAAGUUUCCAUUGGUUACCAGACUAACUGAACUAAAUUCAGGCAGAGUUUAUUCCAGUCCUAUCAACCUUCAGGUUAUUGUCUUUGCAGAGGCUGAUGAUUUCAAAAAUCUUAUCCAGCCUCUUCAAGAGGUUGCUAGGAAGUUCAAAUCACAGAUAAUAUUCAUACAUAUAGACGUUGCAGAUGAAAACCUAGCAAAGCCUUUCUUAACUUUAUAUGGGCUAGAAGAGUCAGGAAACACAGUGGUGACUGCUUUUGAUAACAGAAUCCAUUCGAAAUAUUUGUUACAGGCAGAUCCAACGCCAAGCAACAUAGAAGAGUUCUGUUCAGCAUUUCUCAGUGGUAGUCUGUCACCUUACUUCAAAUCACAACCAAUACCUGAUAAUAAAGAAGCAAAUGUCCAGGUCAUUGUAGGAAAGACUUUUGAUGACUUAGUAUUGAGCAGUCCCAAGAAUGUUCUUCUGGAGAUAUACGCCCCAUGGUGCAUCAAUUGUGAGACCACAAGUAAGCAGAUCGAGAAGUUGGCAAAGCAUUUCAAAGGUUUGGAAACUUUAGUAUUUGGAAAGAUAGAUGCUUCUGCCAAUGAACAUCCAAAACUGCAGGUAGAUGAUUACCCAACACUUCUAUUUUACCCUGUGGGUGACAAAGCAAAUCCGAUCAAGCUUUCAACAAAAUCUAGUUCAAAGGACUUGGCAGCAGUCAUCAACAAAUAUUUAAGAGCCGAAGAAAAAUCCACCAAGGAUGAAUUAUAGAAAUAUAGCGAAUGAGGAUACAAAAAUUUAGUUAGUAAGAGAAGGCUUAAGCUGGAUGAGAUUCUCCACAGAAUCCUGAAAGUAAAUUUUUUCAGAAAGUGCUGAAAGAAAUGUUACAAAACCCUAAAGUAAUUAAACUUGCUUGCAUAUGUUUGGAUAUUUUUCAAGGUUACAACAACAGCAAGCAGUGGUGGAUAAUAAAAGCAAACCUAGAAGAUCUAUAUUCUUAAAGUCAUGUAUUUAGCUCCC
This 1168-nucleotide unclassified non-coding RNA is filed under the name Hevea brasiliensis (rubber tree). Lineage: Eukaryota; Viridiplantae; Streptophyta; Magnoliopsida; Malpighiales; Euphorbiaceae. The record is from RNAcentral.